GCAGAAGUUCACAUGGCAUAGGCUGGCAGCUGAGACACUUUGCCGCUUCGUGGAUCAGAGGCUAAGAGAUUGUAAGCUCCAUGAGGAAAGAAGUCAAGCCUCCUUUUGGUCACUUCAUUAUCUCCAUGAUGCUGCCAUUCAACAAAGUGUGCUCAGAUUCCUCUAUUAAACUGAUGAAUAACCACAGCAGAGGACACAAAUCUUAAGUAUACAGAUCAAUUAAAUGUAUAUAUGUGUACAUCCGUGUAAGCACCACUCAAAUCAAGAUGUAGAACAUUUCAAGAAGCUCAGAAGUCUCCUUUAUGCUACCAGUCAUUACUCUUCCCCACAAAACACAUUGUUCUAAACAGUAUCAACAUAGAUUAGUUUUGACACUUUUUGAACUUUAUAUAAAUAAAGGCAUAUGUUAUAUACUCUUGG
Molecule: long non-coding RNA, 420 nt
Organism: Hippopotamus amphibius kiboko
Lineage: Eukaryota; Metazoa; Chordata; Mammalia; Artiodactyla; Hippopotamidae
Exons: 3
Source: RefSeq, a predicted model, not a curated record